GAAGUUUGCAGAAUCUUCAUGCGAUUUAUAUAAAACCGGCAAAAUUGUACCGGGACACGUCUGUGGGUUGACUUGCCUUCAUUCUCAGCAUCUGCCGCUUCCCAAAUAAGUUCUUUAGGCCAUUCAAAUACUAGUAAAACACACCAGGCCAACAUUGAAAUCCUUUGUAGACAGGACGUAUCUGAAAGCGCCGCUUGCUACAUGAAUGGCAGAGGAAGAGAAAAGAAGUUCUCCGAAAGCCUGCUGUGAAGCCCACAUUAAGAUGAAGGAAUACGUAGUCCAAAGACCGACCCAAAGAAAAGAUGGUUAAAAAGCCAUCGUGCUUUAGUAGAGCCACCGCCACACCUGCAAGUACCUUGAUGGUACUUAGAGGUCAACCCGUUAGGAGCUGGGCCCUGUGCAAACACUGGGAAACGCUUGCCUUAACUGCCAGUCUGCUCUUCCAAAUCUGACAGCCCGUGCAGAACAGCAGACCUGAGCUGAUGCCAGAAUAAGUGCUGGUCUGGUAAGAGAACUCAAACAUCAAACCCUACAGCCCCGCGUGGCCGAGUUAUGGAGGAGAAAAUUGCUGCAGAGAACUGUGCAAGAGGAGGAAUGAUGGAACUGGUUUAAAUGUAGCCCACCGCAGCGUGUUUCACAUGGCUGAGAAACAUCUCAUAAUUAAAUAAAGGUCAUGAGUGAAGAUGGUAAACGAUAUCAGCCCUGGUGUUGGCCCUGAAGUACUCUGCUUCCCUCCGGCUGCCAAACAGAUGUUGAGACGCUGGUGGCCAUCUUUCAGUCUGGAGUCUCUCUGGGAGGCAGGAGGGAGAGUCCUCCGUGCCAGGACAGCCAGGGGCCCUCUGCAGCGCGCCGGUCAUCCGUGCCCCAUCCUUGCUUCAGCCCGAGCUCCUGAACCUCAGGAGCAUCUCCCAACCGCCGCGUUACUGGCUUACCUGGGACAGGUGGAUGGCGCGACCUCUCCGCAGUCCCCAACGUUGUCAAUGUUUACCAUCGUAACAGAUCUGUCUCUGCAAAACACUCUGCAUUUAGCAAAACACCACACGUCCACAAAGACUGGAACAUCCUCCUCCUCCUUUCCCUACCUCCCUGUAAGCUCUCCUGCUCUCCCUCCCUGCUUCCUCCACACUUGGUCAUUAAGGAGCCUCUACCACAAACCUGAAUUCUCCUAUCAUUCCUGGACGGGCUUCUGUCCAACCCACAACUUCGGCCCACGUCUCUGGCAGUUCUUCAUGAAGGUCUAGUUAUCUGUUCAAGCCAGCGCAUUCGCGGUUCGUAUCGGCCGCCCCGGCUCCGCUGACGUUGGGAAGGAGGUGGCGGCUCCGUGCGGAAGCUCCCGCAGAGCCUGGGGCUCUCCCGUCCCCGCGGCUGGGCUGGAUUCGGCGCCCAGAGUGGACCCUGUGUAAGGGACAAGGGAAGAGACACCCGUACGUGUCCCAGUUACAAUCGCAGACAUCGUCAUCCACGAAUUUCGUGACUUUUCCAUUUCUCCUACUUAAGAUUAUAAAAUGCCUGGGUGAUAGUUGCAGCAACUGUUUACAUUAUCUAAAAUAGCAGCACGGUAUUUCCACCGCAUACCAACAAGAGCCAAGGCCUAUAUUUUAUAAACAUCUUCGAAGCAAACAUUUAAGGCCAACUGCAAGACUUGGAUUUGAAAUUCUCGCUCUGGUGUACGAUGGCACUCGGUGCUCGAGUUGACUUUCAGCUCCUUUUCAGUAUUGCGGAGUCAUUCUAAUACUUUUCCUUUUAAGACGACACGUGGUAGAGUACCCAAAUCCCUCCGAACAGUGCAAUCAUUCUUUUAAACUUUUAUCUGAAAAGAUGGUAUUUUACAGUCCGAGAAGGGCAGUUUCCUCCCUCUAGAUAAUUGAGAAAGGGAGGUUUUCCACCGGCUCCAGCAGGGUUGGGAUCAGACUCUUCUGCUAGUGUUUUGAUACAGUCCUAUUUUUCAUUAAGACGCAACAAUAACCAGGAAAAUCCCAUAAUUAUUUCUGGGAAUUCAGUAAUUUUUAAACGGUGAAAUUGUGCGUCAUUUCAGUUGUAAUUUGGAACCCAACCACUUUAUAUGCUGUUGAAAGCCUCAUCUCCCACAAGGGACGUUUUGUGAGACAGAAAUUGCAAUGAAUCGGGAUGAGACAAACGCUGUGGCGAGGAGCAGAUUCGAGUUGUGAAGUGGGUAAAAUAACGUUCUCUUUAGGCUUGGAAAAACUAUCUUCUAAUUAGUGUGAAAAAUACAGUUGUAUGUAAACUGCAAGCAUCUCAGUGAAUACGCAUCCCUAAAUCAAUAAUUUUCAAUAAAACGUGCUUUCUAUGUGAGUUUUCGAUGUUCAGAAGUGGGAUUGUUCUCAGGGAGAACGCUCAGAGCCGGCUCUUUUGAUGUUGUGUUCACAGAAACAGGCACCACGUGAUGCAAGUUCAUACAGAACGAAUGGAAUUAGGGCACAUGGUGGAAGACUUCUCGCAACAAAUUGCUCACAAAUAAUUUAUGGCGAGAAUUACUUGUAGAGUGAUUACAGCACAUGUUUUUGGAAAAAAAAAAUAAAUCAAGAAAAAUCAAUCCGCUUGUGGACUAAUAAUGAAAAGAGGAAGAGGAAAAAUUCCUCUAACAAAUAUGAAACUGCAAAUUAUUCAGGCAGCUCGGUUGGCAACAACCAAUUUUUAUGGUAGUAGGAGCUUGUGGAGUAGGAGGUAACUGUACGAAGAAUGAUUGAUUCAGUAUCUUGUAUUGCAAUUCUGGAAGGGGUUCAACAUCUAAUUUAAAAGCCAUUUUCUUCCUUUUACCCAGUAAAGAAAACGAAAUGAUACUCAAUGUCUGUGAGCUGUUUUGGGCAGACAGAAUCUAUUUUGUGUCCAUGCAGUCCCGUGGUCACUGACAAUGGCUAGCUCAUAAGAAAGAGCAGUUACUUAUUAGGAAAGAUCUCUCUUGCCAGAAAAAAACCAAAACCUGCCUGAGGAAGGAUAUUGCCUUAAUCCUCUUUGCAUCUUCCCAUUAGAGAGUAAAGGAUUUGCCCUUCCAGCAGAGACACAUAAUCGGUCUUAAACUCAGCAUAUCUUUUCAGCCUUUGAGUUGUGGAGUCUUGUGUAGACUGCAUCUCCGCCAGCCCAUCUUUCAGUCCGCGGCAAGAAAACGAUCGGUAACUGACGUUCCUCUUGGAAGAACACAAAGCACACUUGGGGCAGCCCUCUCCUGAGACCACCUUUUGUCUCCUCCUCCCCCUGCCCUGGGAGGACGCCAGCCACCAUCUGGGCAAGAGCCUCCAGGAUGCUGCACCAGGAUCCCGGCGGCGUCCUCUGCUGCCGCGGGUAGAGAGAGAAAGCUGCCGGGACUGAUGAUCUGUUGCCAUGUCCACUGAAGGGAACAAUGAAAAAAAGGUGUAUUUCCACAAGAAUUUUCUAGACAACCUCUCCAGCAAAGGAAGGACGUGGUGCAGAAGAUGAUCUUCAGGAGCUAUUUCAUCAGCCCAUUAGGAGGCAGGGUGAGGAUAUCUGCACCCAGUUGAGCUGUGCUGAAACCACCUUUAAUCCCUGCCCUUUGUACCUUUCCUCCCAAGCUGGAAGGAAAUUCACGUUAGACUCAAGACUGCUUGAAACGUCUUUUGGAUGGUAAUGCCGGCCCACCACGGGAAAACGUUUGGCCCACCGGUUAUGCUCUAGCAGCCCUUCCUGCAUCACCCACCGGCGCCUGGGACGGGAGCUCGGGGCAUCAGUAGCUCAUCACCCGCAGAGUACUUGUCAGAGGGCAGCCGAGGUGUUGGUGGACAAAAUUCAACAAUUUCACCACGAAAGAGCUUUCAUUCUGACUGUAAUCUGAAUAUCGACAGAUUUCUCGCCCUGACUGCAGAUACAUACGUAGGUUGUUUGAUCCAGGUGAAAAAAACACCCCCGCCCUUUGCCUUUCCCCUCCCCAUAGGCAAUUUGGCAAAGUUUGCCUAGAAAGGGUAACAGAAUUUUCAGCUGCUGCAGGCACCCCCGAGCCUACCAGCUUUUUUGCUUUUGUUUAAUUUACUACAUGCGAUUAACUCCGCUGCGUUUCUGCCUGGCAGAAUCUGUGACUAAAAAUACCCUGUGAGUAUACAUCGUGUGCUGCAACACUGGCAGAAAGUAAAUAAGACCAUGGUCUUCAUAAUCACUGUUUUUCCAAAGAACUGCUGCUCCCAGCAGACGGGCUAUUUUAGGCUGUAAAUGGAAAUCAGAAAAUGAGAUUUUCUCUCCUUGUUAGUUCUUCUCCUGGGAAUUUUAGUGCUUUCCUUUCCCCCUGCUUUGGGUGUUGGUGGCAGCUUACUGGCAAUACCAGUCUCUUGGAGGAUUGAACUCUGGAGCCUGUUCUGAAAUACACAAGUGAACAUGGGAAAUAAUUUCCACUAGUACCAACAUAUUAUUUGCUGAUAUAAAAUCAGGUGUUAGAUCAAAACCAGAUUUGGAUAGCCUGAUUCACUCCGUCAUUCAGGUGAUGGUUCACUCUGAAUUCAGGCUUGCGAAGCAGAUGAUAGAAGUAUUUCCUAGCUCCCUGCACUUUCUGUUCUAAUAUUGGUAAUGUAUUUGCAUCUCUCAAUUUUGCAGACCGCCUUUUACCUCCUAUUUGAUGAUCUAAGUCCCGUCAUGCAUGUAGACACCCUUGACACGCUGUAUUGACAAUCCCAUCGAUACCAGCGAUGUCUGGCCUUGCCACCAGUUUUUAGGACAGACACUAUCAUCCAAAUCAUACAUAUCACAUGCAUCUAAUGCAAUAUCUUCGCACAGUCUUUAAAUCUGAGAAGUUCUAAUUAUCAUUUUUAAUACUUCAUGUAUUAUGCAUUUUCUUCUGGAAAAAGCUUCGUGUUAUCAGGAAUUCAAAAGAUGAGGUUUUGCCACAGCAACGUGCAGAUCCGAGAACUUGAGCACAAAUCGUAACCUUUAGCAUUAGCUGCACUUUUCGGAUGCCCCAAACGGCGUUGAGGGGGAUUUUCUGUGCUAGGAAAUACCCUAAUUAUUUCAUAGCAUGGGUACUACUGUGAUACGAUGUCUGUAACCCCCCUGUUUGAUUGAAUACUACUCACAAGCAUCCUUUCACCUACUGAGCGGCUGGUACUUUAUUUUAGUCAAUUGUGGUAUUACUGAGAGUGCUCUCUUUCUGCCUACAUACAUAAAAACCCCAAAACUUUUAACCUUGGAAAAACAUUAAUUGUGCUAGUUUCUUCACUGAGGGAGGAGGAGCGGGCUUUUUUGGGAAUGUCUCAGACAACAAGGGUCAGCUCGGGAACUGAGAGCAGAUGAAAGAUUUUCGGAGAAUACAGGGAAAAAACCCAGAUGGCUUUAAAUAAGUGAAUAGAAAAACCGCUUUGUGUUGUACCCAGACGUCACACGUGAUAAUCCAGACGUCCCAAAUGGUUGUCAUAAUCAUGAUCUGUCAUUCUCAUGCUCUUCCACUUUGUUUUGUCAUUUGCAGCGUUCGUGUGCUUGACUUUAAGCAGUCUGAUGCCGUCCACUGCUUUGACCUUAAAGCUAUUAAAAUUGCAAGAAACAUUUAGAAAGUUGGAAAACUAUUUAUCUGGAAAAGUCCUUGGAGCACAAUGAAAGAUGAGAAGUGACUGAACGACCCCCUGUUUGAUUUACUCCCUUUGAAAAGGUCCUUUCCCCUUGGGCCUCUCCUUGCCCACCACCAGCUGCACUUGCCCCUGCUCCCGUGGCGUCCUCCGUACCUUUUCCCGGCGGGCUCGCUGCCUGUUACACGGUUUAGGCAGGCGCCUUCAUCCUCAUCCCUUUCUAGUCCUCUUUCCGAAGCAGCACGAGACCCAGCUGCUACCCGCUGCCCACCUUCUUGCUCUGCGACAACGCCAGAUCAUCUUUUUUCCCAUUAAUCAUAUUUACUUAUCUGCGCACGUUUCCCUCUGUGAUUCCUCUGUCCUUUAUGCCUUGAAUUCCAGUUUUCUGUGUAAAAUCCCACAAUUUUCUAGGUGAUGUCCCUUAUCCCAGGGCUCCCUUCCUCUUGAACCACUACAGCUCCUCAAAAUCAGAGGAGCGACAGUGAGCAGAUGAUGCAGCUCAUUAGAAGCGCAGCACACAGUAUAACGUGGUUAGCCAUCACCAGACCCACUGCUAAUUCUGUAGCCUUUUCUCCAGAGACCCCUCUGUCUUUUCACGUACUGAGCAGCUGGAAGCACGGAGUGUUUUUCU
Molecule: long non-coding RNA, 6150 nt
Organism: Chroicocephalus ridibundus (black-headed gull)
Lineage: Eukaryota; Metazoa; Chordata; Aves; Charadriiformes; Laridae
Exons: 10
Source: RefSeq, a predicted model, not a curated record